GAGUGCUACAUAAAGGUACUAUGCAAAA
Molecule: non-coding RNA, 28 nt
Filed under: Mus musculus (house mouse)
Lineage: Eukaryota; Metazoa; Chordata; Mammalia; Rodentia; Muridae
Source: RNAcentral